AACGAACGCUGGCGGCAUGCCUAACACAUGCAAGUCGAACGAGACCUUCGGGUCUAGUGGCGCACGGGUGCGUAACGCGUGGGAACCUGCCCUUAGGUUCGGAAUAACUCCCCGAAAGGGGUGCUAAUACCGGAUAAUGUCUUCGGACCAAAGAUUUAUCGCCUUUGGAUGGGCCCGCGUUGGAUUAGCUAGUUGGUAGGGUAAAAGCCUACCAAGGCGACGAUCCAUAGCUGGUCUGAGAGGAUGAUCAGCCACACUGGGACUGAGACACGGCCCAGACGCCUACGGGAGGUAGCAGUGGGGAAUAUUGGACAAUGGGCGAAAGCCUGAUCCAGCAAUGCCGCGUGAGUGAUGAAGGCCUUAGGGUUGUAAAGCUCUUUUACCCGGGAUGAUAAUGACAGUACCGGGAGAAUAAGCUCCGGCUAACUCCGUG
Molecule: ribosomal RNA, 433 nt
Filed under: uncultured bacterium
Lineage: Bacteria
Description: partial 16S ribosomal RNA
Rfam family: Bacterial small subunit ribosomal RNA
Source: RNAcentral